RNAcentral lists this ribosomal RNA (444 nucleotides) under uncultured bacterium. RNAcentral describes it as "bacterial SSU rRNA". It matches the Rfam family "Bacterial small subunit ribosomal RNA", at positions 30 to 514 of the family's 1533-position model. The record is from RNAcentral.
UGAACGCUGGCGGUAUGCCUAACACAUGCAAGUCGUACGAGAGUUUUUAACUCUAGUGGCGGACGGGUGAGUAACACGUGAGAAUUUGCCUUUAGGAGGGGGAUAACAAUUGGAAACGAAUGCUAAUACCCCAUAUGCUUUUGAGUGAAACGGAUUUAUCCGCCUAGAGAGAAGCUCGCGGCUGAUUAGCUUGUUGGUAAGGUAAGAGCUUACCAAGGCGACGAUCAGUAUCUGGUUUGAGAGGACGAUCAGACACACUGGAACUGAGACACGGUCCAGACUCCUACGGGAGGCAGCAGUGGGGAAUUUUCCGCAAUGGGCGAAAGCCUGACGGAGCAAUACCGCGUGAGGGAAGACUGCCUAUGGGUUGUAAACCUCUUUUUUCAGGGAGGAAUAAAUGACGUGUACCUGAAGAAUAAGCAUCGGCUAACUCCGUGCCAGCAG